This is a long non-coding RNA of Oxyura jamaicensis (ruddy duck), 695 nucleotides long. RefSeq lists it as uncharacterized. The transcript has 5 exons. The record is from RefSeq and is a predicted model, not a curated record. NCBI's taxonomy places the organism in Eukaryota, Metazoa, Chordata, Aves, Anseriformes, Anatidae.
AUGAAAGAGGAAUGGAAGGGAAUGGUUCAGCAUUCAAGGGUUUAUUUUCUCUGGAUGAGAAAGUAGAAGAAUGACUGCUUAACUCAAGUAUGCCUGGAGUUUCUAGGGAUUACCAGCUUCACGUAGAAUUCAAGAACAAAUUCAAGACUCGUUGAACUUAGAUCAAGAAAAUGAUGAUGAAACUACCCUCAGUAACCAAAAACUGGAAUGGAUCAGCCUUUGCGUGUGCCAGUUAAUGCAUCUGUCAUGCUGUGGCCAGAGAUUCUACAGGCAUAAUACUGAAGAUGAACACUACUGUGGAAAUGGCAGAACGACUGACUACUGACUGCACUGACCUAACUGUGGCUAACAUGGGCAGAAGAAAUGCAACAACUUCCCUCACUUAAAAUGCUCCAGAUGAUGGAUCAUGAAGAACAGCAGUUAUGAUAAUCAUUCUCACAAGAACUCAGCAGAAGGUCCUGGUACAAUGUCAGCUUAGGCUUGUGUAAGAGCAAUAUGACAGAAGGCUUAGAGCAAACACCUCCUGGUUUGAAAGUAUGAGAUGCCAAAGUUCCACUUCUGGCUUGGCUGCAAGCGUCCUACGUGACCUUGGCACACAGUAAAUUAUCACUGAAUUAUCCCUGAUGCUGAAUGUAAGUGGAAUUCAAUCAAGUUCCAACUUUAAACAACAGGCUUGAGGAGACUUCUUAAAUGUA